RNAcentral lists this small nucleolar RNA (120 nucleotides) under Erinaceus europaeus (western European hedgehog). Its description in RNAcentral is "Small nucleolar RNA SNORA71 (ENSEEUG00000022596.1)". The record is from RNAcentral. Lineage: Eukaryota; Metazoa; Chordata; Mammalia; Eulipotyphla; Erinaceidae.
UCAUCUGAAAGUAGCUAGGGAUGGCAUGUGUCCUGAUCCUUAUAAUGAAGGGCCAGGAACCACUGAUAGUAUUUUACCAUGAUUGAAGGGUCUACUUCCAGUCUCUGGACCUUUCUCACA